UCAUGCCAUUGACUGUAGAUAUUUAGUCGGAGCUCAGCGAUUCUUCGGAACGGAACCUAAAUUCUCUCAAAAAUAAAGUCUUGCGAAUAAGUAGAGAUAGAAUCUGAAUCGAUUGCGUCUUCCGAAUGGUCGGCGUUAGAGCCCACUGUCACGACUGAGUCUUCCGAAAGAGUCUUCGCAUGGUCAGUAUAGAACCCAGUGUCACGAUUUAGACCUCCGAAAGGUGUGUAAAAACAUUUAAAUCAUCAUCAACUGAAGCCUCGACUGCGUCUUCCGAAUGGUCGGCGUUAGAACCCACUGUCACGGCUGAGUCUUCCGAGUGUGUCUUUGCAUGGUCGGUUAGAGGAAGAAUACGAAUUAUCAUCUUUUUCAUCGCUUCAACAAGCGAAUGGAUAACAUUAUUGUCGUUAAAAUUGCGACUCUGGUUCUGGGAGCACAAUGGUCUCGUAGACGGUGGUAGUAUGACCCCACUCCCAAAAAGGAUCGUAUGACUGCAAGCGUGAAGGAUACCAUUGUAUAACCGAUUUCUUUCUCGCAGGUUGCAACCGAAGCCAGGCCUGUGAGGUUGAGCACUAGUGCUGCCUUCGGAAUCCGAAUCCGGGGAACUGCUUAUCAUUCUGUUUGCAAUUUCCAGGAAUAUCCGCCUUUCCCUUCUUUGCUAUGAUUUCUAUACAAGAGGGAUGGAUGCUGCUGGAUAUGACGAACAGAACGAUGGCUAUAUCAUGGAACCCGCCUUCAAUGUCUCCCGAGGCGGAUCCAGUGCUCAACAGCAGAGUCUUUGUUUCAGUUGCAGCCUUGGAGAGAGGAGACAGUUCCACAACGUUGUCGUUCACAUUGAUUAUUGUACGAUCUUUAUAAAUUUGUAAU
Long non-coding RNA from Drosophila miranda, 867 nucleotides. RefSeq lists it as uncharacterized. Lineage: Eukaryota; Metazoa; Arthropoda; Insecta; Diptera; Drosophilidae. The record is from RefSeq and is a predicted model, not a curated record. The transcript is spliced from 3 exons.